This 70-nucleotide transfer RNA is filed under the name Phymata americana. RNAcentral's name for it is "tRNA-Ser". It matches the Rfam family "tRNA". Rfam says of the family: Transfer RNA (tRNA) molecules are approximately 80 nucleotides in length. Their secondary structure includes four short double-helical elements and three loops (D, anti-codon, and T loops). Lineage: Eukaryota; Metazoa; Arthropoda; Insecta; Hemiptera; Phymatidae. The record is from RNAcentral.
AGUCAAAUAGCUUAAUUUAAAGCAUGUAUUUUGAAAAUACAAGAAAAAGGAUCAAUACCUUUAUUGACUU